This 394-nucleotide ribosomal RNA is filed under the name Escherichia coli. Its description in RNAcentral is "partial 23S ribosomal RNA". It matches the Rfam family "Bacterial large subunit ribosomal RNA", at positions 1200 to 1596 of the family's 2925-position model. The record is from RNAcentral. Lineage: Bacteria; Pseudomonadati; Pseudomonadota; Gammaproteobacteria; Enterobacterales; Enterobacteriaceae.
CUGCGGCAGCGACACUGUGUGUUGUUGGGUAGGGGAGCGUUCUGUAAGCCUGUGAAGGUGUACUGUGAGGUAUGCUGGAGGUAUCAGAAGUGCGAAUGCUGACAUAAGUAACGAUAAAGCGGGUGAAAAGCCCGCUCGCCGGAAGACCAAGGGUUCCUGUCCAACGUUAAUCGGGGCAGGGUGAGUCGACCCCUAAGGCGAGGCCGAAAGGCGUAGUCGAUGGGAAACAGGUUAAUAUUCCUGUACUUGGUGUUACUGCGAAGGGGGGACGGAGAAGGCUAUGUUGGCCGGGCGACGGUUGUCCCGGUUUAAGCGUGUAGGCUGGUUUUCCAGGCAAAUCCGGAAAAUCAAGGCUGAGGCGUGAUGACGAGGCACUACGGUGCUGAAGCAACAA